RNAcentral lists this ribosomal RNA (402 nucleotides) under uncultured bacterium. Its description in RNAcentral is "bacterial SSU rRNA". It matches the Rfam family "Bacterial small subunit ribosomal RNA", at positions 28 to 410 of the family's 1533-position model. The record is from RNAcentral.
GAUGAACGCUGGCGGCGUGCUUAACACAUGCAAGUCGAACGGAGAGCCUAUGACGGAGUUUUCGGACAACUGAUUAGGUUUCUUAGUGGCGGACGGGUGAGUAACGCGUGAGGAACCUGCCUUGGAGUGGGGAAUAACACAGAGAAAUUUGUGCUAAUACCGCAUAAUGCAGUUGGGUCGCAUGGCCCUGACUGCCAAAGAUUUAUCGCUCUAAGAUGGCCUCGCGUCUGAUUAGCUAGUUGGUGGGGUAACGGCCCACCAAGGCGACGAUCAGUAGCCGGACUGAGAGGUUGACCGGCCACAUUGGGACUGAGACACGGCCCAGACUCCUACGGGAGGCAGCAGUGGGGGAAUAUUGGGCAAUGGGCGCAAGCCUGACCCAGCAACGCCGCGUGAAGGAAG